GGAUGUGAGGGCGAUCUGGCUAUGACAUCUGUUACCCCAUUGAUCACCAGGGUUGAUUUGGCUAAUCUGGCUGGCUAAUGAGGUGUCCCUGUCCUCCCUCACCUCUCCAUAUGUGUCCUUCCUGAAGCUAUGAGCUCAGGCAAAGAGGAUGACCUUCCCUGAAUAAAGGAGGGUGUGGUCUUAGGUCAAGGGGUAUAUCAGUAGCUGUGCUUCCCUGCUAGAACUUCCAAACAAGCUCUCAAACUUCAAUUCACGUGCCACUUUGUGCUUCUGGCUUUACCUAUGUACUGGCGUAUCAAACCGUGGGUU
Molecule: small nuclear RNA, 309 nt
Filed under: Jaculus jaculus (lesser Egyptian jerboa)
Lineage: Eukaryota; Metazoa; Chordata; Mammalia; Rodentia; Dipodidae
Description: 7SK RNA (ENSJJAG00000004374.1)
Rfam family: 7SK RNA
About the family: 7SK was discovered as an abundant small nuclear RNA in the mid-70s but a possible function has only recently been suggested. Two independent studies have found that 7SK RNA binds the CDK9/cyclin T complex (known as elongation factor P-TEFb).
Source: RNAcentral